Molecule: ribosomal RNA, 118 nt
Organism: Cyanothece sp.
Lineage: Bacteria; Bacillati; Cyanobacteriota; Cyanophyceae; Gomontiellales; Cyanothecaceae
Source: Rfam
CCUGGUGUGUCUAGCGUCAUGGUUCCACUUCGAUCCCAUCCCGAACUCGAAAGUUAAACAUGGUAGCGGCCAAGAUACUUGUCGGGUAGCCGACCGGAAAAAUAGCUCCAUGCCAGGA